Molecule: ribosomal RNA, 253 nt
Filed under: uncultured bacterium
Lineage: Bacteria
Description: partial 16S ribosomal RNA
Rfam family: Bacterial small subunit ribosomal RNA
Source: RNAcentral
UACAGGGGGGGCAAGCGUUGUUCGGAAUUACUGGGCGUAAAGCGUGUGUAGGUGGCCACCUAAGUCCGACGUGAAAUCCCUCAGCUUAACUGGGGAACUGCGUCUGAUACUGGAUGGCUUGAGUGUGGGAGAGGAAUGCGGAAUUCCAGGUGUAGCGGUGAAAUGCGUAGAUAUCUGGAGGAACACCGGUGGCGAAGGCGGCAUUCUGGACCAGAACCGACACUGAGAGACGAAAGCCAGGGGAGCAAACGGG